This 1030-nucleotide long non-coding RNA is filed under the name Ursus thibetanus thibetanus. Its description in RNAcentral is "lncRNA (ENSUTTG00000002587.1)". The record is from RNAcentral. Lineage: Eukaryota; Metazoa; Chordata; Mammalia; Carnivora; Ursidae.
AAAAAAAAUAAAUAAAACCUUUACCCAUAUCUCUGGAAAGGCAGAAAGUUCAUUUUUGGGAGAACUGUAUUCCAACCAGCAAAGGGAUUGUGAAUCUUGGGUGAACUAACGCAAAAUAAAAGGGUUUCCACCUUCUCUUCACAGGGCUUCCCACUCCCAGUGGGAUAGAACACAAAAGAAAGGAAAUCUCUCAUGGAGAUGCAUCUCGAUGCAAAGGUCCUUGCCAGUCUGCGGGCACAUUCUGUCUCCUACGUCAGUCUACCAAGGAAGUAAUCACCGUAGCUAUUUCUCAAGGGUCUCCAACAGAGUAGGUAAGCAUUUUGCAUCUAUUACUGCACUUCAUUAUGCUAAAUUAUAAUUUCUUUUUUUUUUAAGAUUUAUAUAUUUGAAAGAGAGAGAGCACAUGGAGGGAGGGGCAGAGGGAGAGGGAGAAGCAGGCUCCCCACUGAAUGCAGAACCCUAUGCUGGUUCGAUCCCAGGACGCUGAGAUCAAGACCUGAGCCAAAAUCAAGAGUCGGCCGCUUAACCAACUGAGCCACCCAGGCGCCCCCUGAAUUAUAAUUUUUAGGUGAACUUAUGACUCAGGUACAAAUGUGAAAUAAACAUGUCAAACGUUUUAUUCAACUCAUCAAUUAAUAGGAAACCAGUAAGAUGUUAAAACUGGUUCAAAUAAGGGCGCCUGGGUGGCUCAGUGAGUUAAGUGUCUGCCUUCGGCUCAGGUCAUGAUCUCAGGGUCCUGGGAUCAAAUCUCACAUCAGGCUCCCUGCUCAGCUGGGAGUCUGCUUCUCCCUCUGCCUGCCAAUGCUUAUGCUCUCUCUCUCUCAAACAAAUAAAUAAAAUCUUUUUAAAAAACUUAAAAACUGGUUCAAAUAAGAAUUGGAAUUACAGAGAUUUAUAUUCUCCACCAGGCAAAAUUCACUGGUAUUCCUAUGAACAGGAAUCGUUUGCAUUACUAUGAAUAGGAAGUGUUACCAUUGGUUUUCUCAACUUAAUUUCUACCCUUAGAGAGUUGUUUAAAAAAAAGGAAAAG